AUACGUAGGGGGCGAGCGUUGUCCGGAAUUAUUGGGCGUAAAGGGUGCGUAGGCGGCUAUUUAAGUCAGAUGUGAAAAGCGUAGGCUCAACCUAUGUUAGCAUAUGAAACUGAGUAGCUUGAGUUAAGGAGAGGAAAGUGGAAUUCCUAGUGUAGCGGUGAAAUGCGUAGAUAUUAGGAGGAAUACCAGUGGCGAAGGCGACUUUCUGGACUUAAACUGACGCUGAGGCACGAAAGCGUGGGUAGCGAACAGGAUUAGAUACCCUGGUAGUCCACGCCGUAAACGAUGAGUGCUAGGUGUCGGGGGUCAAACCUCGGUGCCGCAGCAAACGCAUUAAGCACUCCGCCUGGGGAGUACGUGCGCAAGCAUGAA
Molecule: ribosomal RNA, 372 nt
Filed under: uncultured bacterium
Lineage: Bacteria
Description: bacterial SSU rRNA
Rfam family: Bacterial small subunit ribosomal RNA
Source: RNAcentral